AACGAACGCUGGCGGCAGGCCUAACACAUGCAAGUCGAGCGCCCUUUCGGGGGAGCGGCGGACGGGUGAGUAACGCGUGGGAAUAUGCCCUUCUCUACGGAAUAGCCUCGGGAAACUGAGAGUAAUACCGUAUACGCCCUGUGGGGGAAAGAUUUAUCGGGGAAGGAUUAGCCCGCGUUGGAUUAGGUAGUUGGUGGGGUAAUGGCCUACCAAGCCGACGAUCCAUAGCUGGUUUGAGAGGAUGAUCAGCCACACUGGGACUGAGACACGGCCCAGACUCCUACGGGAGGCAGCAGUGGGGAAUCUUAGACAAUGGGGGCAACCCUGAUCUAGCCAUGCCGCGUGAGUGAUGAAGGCCUUAGGGUUGUAAAGCUCUUUCAGCUGGGAAGAUAAUGACAGUACCAGCAGAAGAAGCCCCGGCUAACUCCGUG
This 431-nucleotide ribosomal RNA is filed under the name uncultured bacterium. RNAcentral's name for it is "partial 16S ribosomal RNA". It matches the Rfam family "Bacterial small subunit ribosomal RNA", at positions 29 to 507 of the family's 1533-position model. The record is from RNAcentral.